GAUAGCGUCCAUACCACACUGAAAACACCGGUUCUCGUCCGAUCACCGCAGUUAAGCAGUGUCGGGCCCAGUUAGUACUUGGAUGGGUGACCGCCUGGGAAUACUGGGUGUCGCUACCUU
Molecule: ribosomal RNA, 120 nt
Filed under: Planocera reticulata
Lineage: Eukaryota; Metazoa; Platyhelminthes; Polycladida; Planoceridae
Source: RNAcentral